Molecule: ribosomal RNA, 482 nt
Filed under: uncultured bacterium
Lineage: Bacteria
Description: partial 16S ribosomal RNA
Rfam family: Bacterial small subunit ribosomal RNA
Source: RNAcentral
GACGAACGCUGGCGGCGUGCUUAACACAUGCAAGUCGAACGAUCAAGAAGAGAAUCGCGAACGUCGCUUCAAAUUUCACUUCGGAUUAGUGGCUGACGGGUCAGUACCUCGUGUGCAACCUACUUCUUAUAACGGGAUAGCCUCUGGAAACCGAGAUUAAUCCCAUAUGACACAUUCAUAAGGCAUCGUAAGAAUGUUAAAGCCGCGGCGGUCAGAGAUGGGCUCGCGUCCCAUUAGCUGGUUGGUGAGUUAACGGCCCACCAAGGUGAAGAUGCGUAACGGGGAUGGGAGGGUGCACAGUCACGCUGGCGCUGAGACCCGGACCAAACUCCUACGGGAGGCAGCAGUGGGGAAUAUUGCACCCUGGAGGGAACUCUGAUGCAGCCACGCCGCGUAAGAGAUGAAGGGGUUAGUAACGUAAAGCUCUGUUUUAUGGGAAGAUAGUGACGGUACCGUAGGAAUAAGCCCCGGCUAACUACGUG